UACGGAGGGUGCAAGCGUUGCUCGGAAUUAUUGGGCGUAAAGGGUAGGUAGGUGGUCUUAUUUGUCUAGGGUGAAAGCCUUGAGCUUAACUCGAGAAGUGCCCUAGAAACGGUAAGACUAGAGUCCUGGAGAGGGUCGUGGAAUUCCCGGUGUAGCGGUGAAAUGCGUAGAGAUCGGGAGGAACACCGGUGGCGAAGGCGGCAUCCUGGACCGACACUGACGCUGAGGCGCGAAAGCCAGGGGAGCAAACGGG
Molecule: ribosomal RNA, 253 nt
Filed under: uncultured bacterium
Lineage: Bacteria
Description: partial 16S ribosomal RNA
Rfam family: Bacterial small subunit ribosomal RNA
Source: RNAcentral